Toxorhynchites rutilus septentrionalis is the source of this 1172-nucleotide long non-coding RNA. RefSeq lists it as uncharacterized. Lineage: Eukaryota; Metazoa; Arthropoda; Insecta; Diptera; Culicidae. The record is from RefSeq and is a predicted model, not a curated record. The transcript has 3 exons.
GUACUGAUUUCGACUUUUGGAAGCCCCUCGUUUCGUUAUUUUGAAUUUCAGAUCCAACACAAUCUCUCCUGUGUGGAUCUGGGAUUCUCUCUUCUUUCUAUGUAUUGGAUGUUUGGCAACGCGAGUGCCGCUCCCGAUUUUAGAUUUGAGCAACUAGCCAUAAUGGGUGCUGGAUGUGACUGGGCGGCUGUUUUAGCCAAGACACCCACAUACCAACACUCCGAAAGACUCAUGCUUUCUUUUUUUUUGCUAUUUUUUCAUUUGGAUAUUUCCCCCAAAUAGCAGAGUCUUUCGGCGGGGUUUUCUUGUUCUUCAAAUUUCAAAACCCGGCGAGCGCUUCGACUUGAACUCUGCUCGGGAGGUUAAAGGGUAUCGCCCGCGAAUGCUUGAAUGCGCGACCAAUGAAAGCGCAGGGGAAUUUCGGUGUGAAUACGGAAUAGUUAACAUCGUUAACUAUUACGUAAUUCCGGUUCCAAUGAAUGUCUCGCUGAUCUGAGGAUCUUGAGAUAUGCUUGCCCAUUCCGACUUCGACCGUGGAAUAGGCAGGGCGGACCAGUUUUUUUUGCAUCGCGAGUGGACGGUAAAAAGUUAGUUUAAAAUAAGUUUUUCCGAGAAAUCGAAAAGUGUAAUUCUUCGCUUGUGUUCCCGUUUAGCGAAAUCAAAGGAAGGAGCCGUAUCCUGACCCCAUGAUCGAAGAUUGGAUCUUCGCCACCACAUCAGUCAAACCAGGUGGCCGCGCGAAGCGCGAAUCGUCACUCGAAUCAAGGGAAGGCGCCGCACGGCACCACUACACGUCGGAUGCGCAUUCAACGUCUACGUCCCAUCAUCUACGCCUACGGACUCGUCAUUCAUCGCCUACCGUGGAACGGCGGUAAAGUAGAUGCACGUAAAGCCUAGGUAGUGUGAGUACAAAACUUCUUUCACCCUAAAAAUAACAUGCGCAUGUAGGGUUAAGAUCAAAAAUAAAAACCACACACAAAUUAACAACGCCACACAAAAAAAUGCCACACAAUUUAGAAGCAUAGAGCAAUACCGUCAGCGUGCACAUGCUGCUCGCUAGCAAGAAGGGUUCACACAAGAUGGAGAAUUAGACUCGAUAGUAAGAUCGCUGGGCUUGAAUUCCAGGGUCCGGUGUUCGAAACCCAUAUGAGGAUUUAGUGAAAUAAAUUUAG